UUGGGAUUUAUCCUAACACUGUGAGAUGGGCCCGCGGCGCAUUAGCUAGUUGGUGAGGUAAUGGCUCACCAAGGCAACGAUGCGAGCCGACCUGAGAGGGUGAUCGGCCACCCUGAACUGAGACACGGUCCAGACUCCUACGGGAGGCAGCAGUAGGGAAUCAUCCGCAAUGGGCGAAAGCCUGCCGGUGCAACGCCGCGUGAACGAUGAAGGUCUUCGAAUUGUAAAGAUCUGUUGUUAGGGAGGAACAAGUGCCAUUCGAAUAGGUUGGCACCUUGACGGUACCUAACCAGAAAACCCCGGCUAACUACGUGCCAGCAGCCGCGGUAAUACGUAGGGGGCAAGCGUUGUCCGGAAUUAUUGGGCGUAAAGCGCGCGCAGGCGGUCUCUUAAGUCUGAUGUGAAAGCCCACGGCUCAACCGUGGAGGGUCAUUGGAAACUGGGGGACUUGAGUGUAGGAGAGGAAAGUGGAAUUCCACGUGUAGCGGUGAAAUGCGUAGAUAUGUGGAGGAACACCAGUGGCGAAGGCGACUUUCUGGCCUAUAACCGACGCUGAGGCGCGAAAGCGUGGGGAGCAAACAG
This 582-nucleotide ribosomal RNA is filed under the name uncultured bacterium. Its description in RNAcentral is "bacterial SSU rRNA". It matches the Rfam family "Bacterial small subunit ribosomal RNA", at positions 207 to 775 of the family's 1533-position model. The record is from RNAcentral.